RNAcentral lists this ribosomal RNA (207 nucleotides) under uncultured bacterium. RNAcentral's name for it is "partial 16S ribosomal RNA". It matches the Rfam family "Bacterial small subunit ribosomal RNA", at positions 568 to 774 of the family's 1533-position model. The record is from RNAcentral.
CACGCAGGCGGUCUAUUAAGUCAGAUGUGAAAUCCCCGGGCUCAACCUGGGAACUGCAUUUGAAACUGGCAGGCUUGAGUCUUGUAGAGGGGGUAGAAUUCCAGGUGUAGCGGUGAAAUGCGUAGAGAUCUGGAGGAAUACCGGUGGCGAAGGCGGCCCCCUGGACAAAGACUGACGCUCAGGUGCGAAAGCGUGGGGAAGCAAACA